GUAGGGAAUCUUGCGCAAUGGGCGAAAGCCUGAUCCAGCCAUGCCGCGUGUGUGAAGAAGGUCUUCGGAUUGUAAAGCACUUUAAGUUGGGAGGAAGGGCAGUAAGUUAAUACCUUGCUGUUUUGACGUUACCGACAGAAUAAGCACCGGCUAACUUCGUGCCAGCAGCCGCGGUAAUACGAAGGGUGCAAGCGUUAAUCGGAAUUACUGGGCGUAACGCGCGCGUAGGUGGUUUUGUAAGUUGGAGGUGAAAUCCCCGGGCUCAACCUGGGAACUGCCUCCAAAACUGCAUGACUAGAGUACGGUAGAGGGUAGUGGAAUUUCCUGUGUAGCGGUGAAAUGCGUAGAUAUAGGAAGGAACACCAGUGGCGAAGGCGACUACCUGGACUGAUACUGACACUGAGGUGCGAAAGCGUGGGGAGCAAACAGGAUUAGAAACCCCUGUAGUCC
This 450-nucleotide ribosomal RNA is filed under the name uncultured bacterium. RNAcentral's name for it is "partial 16S ribosomal RNA". It matches the Rfam family "Bacterial small subunit ribosomal RNA", at positions 354 to 796 of the family's 1533-position model. The record is from RNAcentral.